Molecule: long non-coding RNA, 1232 nt
Filed under: Medicago truncatula (barrel medic)
Lineage: Eukaryota; Viridiplantae; Streptophyta; Magnoliopsida; Fabales; Fabaceae
Description: long non-coding RNA (MTRU_LNC005764)
Source: RNAcentral
GGUUUGGAGUACAACUCACAGAAACCAUUUCCACAGCAAAAUGAUUUUGGCAUUCCGGUACGGUGUUGAUGAUGAACGACGGUGUUGAUGAUGAGACUGAAGAUUCCAGUGGUGAUGAUGAUGAACGACGGUGAUGAUUCAGCUUGUUUCCGCGUUUGGUUCAUUUUGUUUUGUUUUGUUUGGUUUUCUUUGAAGGUGUAGGAAGAAUUAUGUUGGGAUUUAUGCACGGUGCAUAAGAACCUUAUGCACCAUAACCGAUCCCGUGGAACUGCCAAAGAUAAUUUUGGUUUAAUAACAAAAGCCACACCAAAAGUGGAACUACCAAGGGUAUUUUUGGGUAACAAAGUUUUCCCUUUAUAGAUAGUUAAAAAAUAGUAAUAUUGGCAUAUAUACCUGUUUCAACAAUUAUAUCAACAAGUAAGAAGGGUUUCCCACCAUCUCUUCAUCAAUAGGAGAAUCCAAACAUGAAACAAUUGAAGCUUUUAUUAAAAGUUCCGCUGUCGGGUUAAGUUGUAGAUUCAUGUAUGAUCGAUUUUUCAACUGCAUAUUUUUCUAUAGCAGAUACAUGAGCAUCAGCAUUUUGUGCACCAGAAUCUAAUGUCCAACCCCUUCAGAUAGAUACAAGUUUUAACUGAAUGGGUGUACUAAAUUUAUAGCCCUGUCAUCCCUAGAAUAAGUGUCUUUGUUAUACACAAGCACAAUUGUUUAGCUUUGUCAUCUCUAGACUAUAUUAGACUUAUCGCAGAAAAGGAUAUGUAGUGCCUUCCUUUCUCCAAUGAUAAGCAUAAAACAUCUAGUAGUAAGGGGUCUCAGAAUACUAGUCAAGUGCUACCCCUCUUUGUAUAUGAAUAAGGUAACAACUGUGAGUGUAGUUGCAUCCCCUAGAAAUAGAGUGGUCGAUACAUAUGUGACAAAUUUCUGACUGAAUACUAGUAAACUUGGUUUGAAUUAAAAAGAAACACCCAAUGACAACUGCUGCACUAUUACCUCUAGAAGAAUUAUUCAAUAAGAAGCAUUGAUUUGAUGAAGUUGGGAUGGGAUGGGAGGGGUAGAACAUACCUCGUUAGCUUCCAACUUUCAGAGCUGCAGGAAAUCUAAAACUGAUGGGACAUCUGAGUUAUUGGCAGAAGUUACCUACAACGUAAAGGUUAUUCAUUUCAAGAAAGCACACAAAAUCUGGUGUUGAUACCGAAAUGAUAAAUAACUUAUUUCUAAGUCUGAAUUGAAUUUAC